RNAcentral lists this ribosomal RNA (368 nucleotides) under uncultured organism. RNAcentral's name for it is "bacterial SSU rRNA". It matches the Rfam family "Bacterial small subunit ribosomal RNA", at positions 526 to 896 of the family's 1533-position model. The record is from RNAcentral.
CGAAGGAUGCAAGCGUUAUCCGGAUUUAUUGGGUUUAAAGGGAGCGUAGGCGGUCUUAUAAGUCAGUGGUGAAAUCUCGUUGCUUAACAACGACCGUGCCAUUGAUACUGUAGGACUUGAGUACAGUUGCCGUUGGCGGAAUGUGUCAUGUAGCGGUGAAAUGCAUAGAUAUGACGCAGAACACCGGUUGCGAAGGCAGCUGACGAAACUGUAACUGACGCUGAGGCUCGAAAGCGUGGGGAUCAAACAGGAUUAGAUACCCUGGUAGUCCACGCCCUAAACUAUGAUUACUCGCUGUCGGCGAUAUACAGUCGGUAGCUAAGCGAAAGCGUUAAGUAAUCCACCUGGGGAGUACGCCCGCAAGGGUG